UCUCACUCUCUUCCCAUGGACAGAAGCCACUGCGGCUGUGGCCCUGCUGUGUUUGUGGCUGUGUUCGUGCCUUGAGUCUGUUCACUACCUAUACUGGAGCUACCGAAGGAAAACGGUCAUCAGCACGGGAGAAAAAAUCAUUUCAGCAAACACAAGCCAUUUGUGUGGAACUCCAGAUCGACCCCCAAUCAAAGUCUGUGUGGAGAAGAGGAGAGAGUCGCAAGCAGCUGCCCAGAGCCCUCUUGUGCCCAGUAAGCUUCACCAGGCUGCGUGGGGGUCCAUUGUGUCUCACCCAGGACGGUCAUGGCUUGAGACACCUUCUGCAGGGAGUCGUGGAACCUUAGCCGUGAACACCUCUCCUGGUUGAGCGGCACCGAGGAUCUUUGCUGCCUCCUUAGUGGCGGCCUGGGCUCAGGGCUGAAUCUUACUUAACCCCAUGCAGAAGUGAGGAGCCACAGUGGAGGCAACGACUCAAGGACUGGGAGGGGCCUGUCCAGGAGUUGAAAGGCUGCGUUUGAAGAUAUAUUGGUUACACAGAAAGCCAGUCAUCUCCUAUAUGUGGCUCUUUGGGUAGGAAUGCUGUGCAGGAUCAAAAGUGCCAUUACUUCUGCAACUCCCCAACUGUACAAUGUUUAUAUACGGAAGCUAAAACCGUGGAGAAAGAACUGUAUCAUUCCAGGCACAGGAAGAUGACCAAGGUCAUCCUGUGAGAAGAUGUGAGAACAUGAGGAGGGAAGGCAUUGCUGUAGAGAAGAACUCUAACUACCCCAGAGAGACGAUGAAGAGGAAGGUUUAAACUAAUAUCCACCUAUGAUCCAACACACAUGAAGCAGAAGCAGGAGGGUCGCUGCAAGUCUGAGGUCAGUCUGGUCUACACAGUAAUUUCCAGGGUGAGCCUGCUUCUAACAACUCCCUCAAAAGGCUCUGUAACCCGUCCAAAAGAUGAUGUCAAGUGCUACAAGGGCCCAGAGUCAUGGCUGUGGAGGCAGCUCAUGAAUCCACCAGAGCCCAAAUGGCGACCCCGCUCCCAUUAUCCAUCUGCUCUGCUUCCUCACAAAGCUGUUAAAUACCUUGCUCAAGAAGUCCAAGAGUAGGAGAAGUAAAGGCAGCAGGAAACAGAAGGUGUAUGUGGAAGAUAACGGCUGGAAGUACACAUGAAGAGACCAUGAAGAGCAGUGUAACCGGAAGAGCGUUAUAGAUGAGAAGUGGCCAGCUGAGGCUUCCCAUAGUCAGAUUCUUCUUGACCUGCACUCUGACCAGUCACAUGAGAGCCACAUCUCUCAAGCCCAUGAGCAGCAGAUGGACACAGACUUGCAAGAAGUUCUCAGGAGCCACUGGUGGCUGACUAUGACAUUUUGGCUGCUCAGAGUGAGCUAGAGGCAUCUAUGGAUUUACCGGCUAACAAGCUCCUCGUCCCUCCUGCCUCCCAGUUCUGAAAGUGGUAUGUGAGAAUCUUCUUUCUUCAGAGCUACAGACAUGUGUACUUUCCAACAUCUGUUCAUCCUCAAGACAACAUCAUAAUGUGGCUACUGUUGCUAUUUUCACUUCACACAUAAGGACUCUGAACACCAAAGGACUCCAAAUUCAGGCCUCCAGAACCUAGGAAGGUAUUAUUCUAUGUGACCAAAAGACAUCUCAAACUCAGCUUCUAUUCUCCGGACAGACAGGAUUUGCAAGGUACUCAUGGCAAACUAAAGCAAGAGCCAGAGGCCAAAGGUUCCUCUUUGGGAUGUAGAGAUGGGUUGGGGGGGCAACAACCAAAUGUCUCCUCCUGUCUUCUUCUGGAGUCUCCACCCAUCUCCCACAAGCAUUUCUGUCUCCAUGUAGACACCUCCAUGUCAAGAGCUCAAUAUCCUCUGUCUCAGGGUCACAGGUGCCCACUCAACAAAGUGCCUCCCAUCCACCAAGCUCUGGAGACCAGAGAGGAGGCUCCUUCUCCCAGUCCCCACAGACACCACUGAACCCAUUAGUGACAUAGCUUAGUGUUCACAAAGGGACAAAUGGUGCUGGGGUCUGCCACAUACAACUGCUGUCCCCUCCCAUGCAACUGCAGAAGAACUAGAUGACGAUGGUGAACACUAGGCUUCUUGCCCUCGAUUUGUCAUUUGUCAUAGAUUAUCAGACAUUCUGCAAGUGAUUGCUAAGGACCAAGACUACAUAGAUGCCAGCAUCUUAGAAUGCUCUGGGAAGCCCCAUAUGGGUCAUCUAACUAAAAGGGGAAGGGGAAUCAUGAAAAAUUUGGUAAAGGAAUCCUGAAUGUACAGGGAUCAAAAUUUAAUUCAAAACUGAAUGCAUAAUGAAUCUGUUGCUGGCAGAUUUCACCUGUGUUGUAUCACACAACCUCACUGCAGCCUGAGUUCCAAACACAAAUGUGUGCAUUGAUAUUGUACCAUGAAUGACAUCAUAGUAUCAACACCAAGGAACACCGCCUACAAACCCACACAUGCUCAGAUUUAAGAUUAUUAUGUUAUGACCUGCAGUGAUUUUACUGUACGUACAAAGCUGUAUGCAGAAGUGUAAGUUUUAAUUAUGGAAAACAAAAUAUUUUCCUUUUCAUUUUAAUUUUUAUUAUUUUUGAAUUAUUUGUAUGCAUUGAUGUGUCUCUGUGUAUAUGGUUCUGUGCAUAUGAAUGUAGGUAUGUGUAGAAGUCAAAGGUGUUGGGUCCCCCUAGAACUGGAGUUGCAGGCAGCAAGGAGCCACCUGAGAGGAUGCUGGGAUUUGAACUCAGGCCCUGUGGAAGAGCAGUGCAUGCUCAUUAUCAGGGAUCCAACUCUCUAGCUCACAAAAUUGUUUCCUGUUUCAGCAUGGAAAUAAAAAAUUAUCAUCCCUUUGGAUUUUA
Molecule: long non-coding RNA, 2839 nt
Organism: Mesocricetus auratus (golden hamster)
Lineage: Eukaryota; Metazoa; Chordata; Mammalia; Rodentia; Cricetidae
Exons: 9
Source: RefSeq, a predicted model, not a curated record